RNAcentral lists this long non-coding RNA (354 nucleotides) under Ananas comosus (pineapple). RNAcentral's name for it is "long non-coding RNA (ACOM_LNC018179)". The record is from RNAcentral. Lineage: Eukaryota; Viridiplantae; Streptophyta; Magnoliopsida; Poales; Bromeliaceae.
AUAAUUUGAUAAAAUAUUUAUGUGAAAAUUUUUUCUAUUUUUAUUAAAGGUUAUAUAAGUGAUAAAAGAUUUUCAGUAUCGCAGUUUACUUAAUUUUAACAAAGCAUAUGACACCGACCGUUCCUAGCGCAAGUGACAAAAGGCUUGGUGGUUGAUACUCGAGAUUCCAAAUUCGAAUUCUAGUUGAAGUGGCAAAGGGCUUGUUGGUUAGUAUCUGAAAUUUCAAGUUCGAAUCCUAGUUGAUUUACAUUUCUAAUUAAGUUUAUUUCUAAUGAAAUAAACGAGCAUAUGACUUCCGUCCGGCGGUGAUAGAUUGUGAUUAUAUUUUGAAAAAUAAUUAGAAAAAAAUUAUUG